GGCGCUUUGUCCGAGUGGUUAAGGAGCCAGCCUGCUAAGUUGGUGUGCUCUGCACGCGCGUGUUCGAAUCACGCAGGCGUCA
Fonticula alba is the source of this 82-nucleotide transfer RNA. It matches the Rfam family "tRNA". Rfam says of the family: Transfer RNA (tRNA) molecules are approximately 80 nucleotides in length. The record is from Rfam. NCBI's taxonomy places the organism in Eukaryota, Rotosphaerida, Fonticulaceae.